ACAGUUUAUUAAAUAACAGAUAAGCACCUCUGUCCUUUGGGAUCUGGUGCCUGGUACUGGCACAGUGGGACCCACAUCACUGAUUAUUCUCUUUCACAACCAACACUGUUUAGGCCCCAGGAAACAAUCUCUACAUGUGGCACUCGACUCUGAAAACAACAGGUCAAAUGUCCUGAUACUUCGUGGAUGAUGCCACCGCAGACAUAGGAGACAGACACUGCUUCAAGAGAGGAUUUGAGUGAACUUGGAGGACAUUUGAAAAUGACCAAAAAAUAUAAUGAGAAGAAAUUAGCCUGACUAGGGUGGGAGCAGGAAGAAGAAAUGUAUCUUCUUUGAAAGAGCCUUGCAAACAAGAAAACGGGCCAGGGACAAAGUGCAGGAGGAGAGGCUAUCACAAUGGCUCAGAGGCUUGAAAAGAGCUCAGGGUCAGACCAUGUUCUCUGAUAUGGGACAGGCAGAGCCCCGUGAAUGAGGUAGGCGAGGGUGCGUGGGACACUCGGCAGCGGCCCAAUCUCUAUCUGCAAAGAGCCUGUGGAGGAAGGGGAGGUGCUGGGGGGAGCUGACUUGGGGGUCACACAGCCCCCACUGGGCUCCCCUAGGGUGGGAGCCAGGGUCUCUGUGAGGCACCAGGAGACGGGACUGGGGCCAGCAGGCACAAGUGCUGGGAGGAGGACUUCAGCUCAGAGAAGGAGCAGAUCUCCACUAGGGGGCAGGAGGGGACCACAGAUGCUAAACAGCCGGCCAUUCAGGGUUACCCUGGCCAGAAUUCUCCCUUAAGCCUCAGCUUCCAGAGCUACAAAUCAGAGCUAAAUAAACCCUCCUUCCACUGGGGGUGGCGGAGGUCACGUGUGUGUGUGCACGCAUGUGUGAACGUGUGUCAGAGACCAGCAGCCGCUCACCCAAUCCAUUUCUUCUGCCUGGACAGACUACAUCUUCAGCCUUAUUUGUGCUCUAGCCAACGGGAUGGAAGUGGAGCGAUGCUAGCCCCAUAGAGGCCUGGCCCAGAGACCCUCCUGCACAAUUCUCUACACUCUCUUUCCCCGGUGGUGCCUCCCCCUGGUGUGGAGUGACCUUGGGAGCCACGUGUGGGAGAGGAAGAGGGCAGAGCCCCUGGCAGGUAGCCAAGGUCUCUCAUCAACAAGCCAAUUAACUUUUACGUGCACGAGAAAUAAGCCUCUAUUCUACCGCCAAUGCAGAGUGGGUAGGAGGUGCUUGAUAAACGGAGCCACUUUCCUUCAUCAUGUUAAGGAUGUUGCAGGUCAGCGCUCUCCUGUGCGGCAUCACUGGCUUCUAGGGAUGGAAGGAAACGCUUCCCUUCUCCAGCCGCACUGGAUCCUGAGUGUUCCCCUCUCUUUCCACUGACCUCCCCGGACAGAUGGUAAGGGGCUCAUCCAUGCUGUCCUCCACCCUAGACUGUGAGCCCUCUGAAAGUCAAGGCUGUGACUGGCCAUCCAUCUGUCUCAGCAUCCAGCACAGGGAACAAACCGAAAUGUUCAUAGGAGGUUUGAGCUGGGGGCAGUAAGUUCCCUGUCAUGUGAAGGAGGCAAGGCUGCAAAGGGGGCUCCUGACCGAGGCUGGACUAGAGGACAUGGGACUCCCUUCUCAGCCUGGAGUCUUACAGCUGAGUUAACCACAGGGCAGGUUCUUAGCAGAGCCCCACGAGCUAACCAUGAGCUUCUUACUCCUGAAGAAACGUGGGGAUGAGCACUGGGAAGCUGCUGCGGGCUCUGGGCCCAGGCAAGCUUCUCCCCCUGACUCCAGCCAGCAAGAGCUUGGAGACUCUGAGAGGCCUCCGGAGAAAGCUCAAGGGUUCAGGGCCUGUUUCUGGCCUUGCUCUGCCUGCACUGGCCAUGGGACCUUGGACUCACUGCCCAUUCUGAGUUUCAGUACAAACCCCCAUUUGUGGAUGCGAGAUGCCACCAAGACCAGGACUCUGAAAUGCUCCAUGCAGGCCACAUGGAAGGCACUGACCACAUGUGGGCCAUUAUCUAUUUGCGUUUCUCCCAGGAAGGGAUCCCACAUGGGGAGAGCCCCUGGAGAUACCUCUGGCCUGAGUGCUCCACUGGUGUCCAUCCACGUCUGGAAAGCUGCCCCAAGAUCAUCUUGUUGCUGGGCAAGGAAAAGACAGGGUAUGUAUCGUGGCCCCCCAGGGUUCUCCACACCCAUCAAGUGGGAGCCCCAGGGCCACAUUCCCUGGCAGGAUCUUGGCCAAGUCAUAUGCCCUCUGCAGAACUCUCGGUCCUUCCUCUCUUUGCAGACAGUCAAAGCUGACCCUGCCAUUCCCUUUCCCCAGGUACUAAUAGCUCCCCAUGGCCCUCAGGAUUAAGUUCAGACUCCUCAACAUGGUUAUAAGACCCAGUUUGAACACUGUGGUCUUGAGCCAUGUCUCCUUCCUCUCCCUCAUAUGUGCUCUGGCACCAGCCGCACUAUAGUACUUCUAAGUUCCUAAACGCCAUGAUCCAUCUGGCCAUGGGGCCUUUGCACAUGCUGUUCUCAUUGCCUGGAGGACCUCUCCCUCCCUUCAAUGCACCAUCUGGCUAUCUCCUAUACCAGUGGUUCUCAAGGAGAGGCGACAAUGCCCCCCAGGGGAUAUUUGGCAAUAUCUGGAGACAGUUUAGUUGUUCAAGCCGGGGGAGGGGGUACUACUUGUAUCUGGUGGUUAGAGGCCAGGAAUUCUGCUAAACAUCCUCCAGGACAGUCACUCACAGCAAAGAAUUAUGCAAAUGUCAGUUGCACUGUGUCUCAGAAAACCUGCCCUAGACUCAUCCUAUAGAUGUCAGUUGUGAUGGGAAGCCUCUCCCGAAGCUUCUGACUCCAGGCUAAGAUGAGGGAGGCCCCCUUUCUCUAUGCCCCCAGUCCCCGUGUUUCUCCUUUGGCUCGCACUUUAAUAGUCUAAUAUAACUUUGCACUCCCAACCCUACCACUGGGCUUGGCAGAGACAUAGCCGUGGUCUUGCCAUGAAAACAGCAAAAGCUGAGGCCUGGGGUCCAGAACGGGGGACUCUGGGGCUACUCCUCAGGGUCAAAUUCCAGACCUGCCACUUACUAACUGCAUAAUCUGGGGAAAGCUGCUUAACUCUUUCUCAGUUCUUUCAUCUUGAAAAUGGACCUGAUAAUAAAACUUCCUCACAAGAACUGCUGAAAGGAACACAUGAGUGAAUACAUGAAAAGCACCUGUAGCCCGGCCACGGUGGCUCACCCCUGUAAUCCCAGCACUUUGGGAGGCCGAGGCGGGUGUAUGGCUUGAGGUCAGGAG
Homo sapiens (human) is the source of this 3255-nucleotide long non-coding RNA. RefSeq lists it as uncharacterized. The transcript is spliced from 3 exons. The record is from RefSeq and is a predicted model, not a curated record. NCBI's taxonomy places the organism in Eukaryota, Metazoa, Chordata, Mammalia, Primates, Hominidae.